UCCUAUGGUGAACACCGAAAAACUCUGGAUCUCAAACACCUUCUGCUUCCGUAAAAUGCUCCUCUAAAGCACCAUUGACGAGUGCCAAUCUUCAGGUCAAGCUCGCCGAAGAAGCGAAGUCAGAACACUUCCAAGCUCCCUCCUCGUUCCGCGACUUCAGCUUAGACUUUUCUCCGACCCCCUCUUCAGCUAAUUGUGCGUGCCUCAUGCUGGGUUUGGCUUAGGUUUUGAAAGGUUAGUGCAGUUUGCAACUACCUUUCCCACGAACGCCUGGAUCUGCUGAAUUUUAGUGUCGCCGACUUCAGAGAUGCAGUAAUUUUGAUUCAGCCUUGGUAGUCGGUACCCAUCAAGGCUUAUCCUCCUGAGUUUGGCAUUGUAUUUUGAUUAGAAGAUUCAAGUUCAGAUUCAAGUUCAGAUUCGAACAGGUUCUAACACGAUUCCCAAGAAGAAGAAGCCAGUCAUUGCUGUGAAGAUGGUUUUUGAAUUGAAGACUACAAGGCCUAUCGUGCUCAUGUUUUGUUCUAGAUGGGAAUCGUGCUCAUAUUUUUGUAUAGAACUUUACUACUCUUUAUUGUGGAUGGGAAAUCACUAGUAUUGUAACUGAAUGGCUUAUUUUGGAUGGUGCAUGGUUUAUGACUCAUUUGAGGCAACAUUUAUAUAUAUAUGUAUUUGGGUUGAUCUUCUAUUGGAAAUGAAUGUUGGUUUUCUUUUCGUA
Long non-coding RNA from Coffea eugenioides, 715 nucleotides. RefSeq lists it as uncharacterized. The transcript is spliced from 3 exons. The record is from RefSeq and is a predicted model, not a curated record. NCBI's taxonomy places the organism in Eukaryota, Viridiplantae, Streptophyta, Magnoliopsida, Gentianales, Rubiaceae.